This 2506-nucleotide long non-coding RNA is filed under the name Pan troglodytes (chimpanzee). RNAcentral's name for it is "long non-coding RNA NONPTRT016881". The record is from RNAcentral. Lineage: Eukaryota; Metazoa; Chordata; Mammalia; Primates; Hominidae.
CCGGGCACGGGCCCCUGGGUGGUAUCUCGCGCUUAAACCAGAUGGAGGGCUGGUAGAGCAGAUCACCCCCAAAGCAAGAAGUUCCAGAUGAAAUAUGCAUAAGAAGCAGCCUCAAAACUAACAAAAAAGAUUCGCACAUUCCUCAGUUAGAGGAGGAGCAGAGAUGAAGAAAAGGAGAAGAAAAGCGCUGGAAAGAGAAGAAAAGGAACCUCCUUCUGUGCAGCAGGCUCCUGGCCCAGGGAGCGCGGUGUGCGGCAGAGUGCGUGCAGGGAAGCAGCCUCUGAAAUAGUGCAGGGAGGCACCCUGUGAAAUCGUGCAGGGAAGCACCCUGUGAAAUCGUGCAGGGAAGCACCCUGUGAAAUCGUGCAGGGAAGCACCCUGUGAAAUCGUGCAGGGAAGCACCCUGUGAAGUCGUGCAGGGAAGCACCCUGUGAAGUCGUGCAGGGAAGCAGCCUCUGAAGUCGUGCAGGGAAGCAGCCUCUGAAGUCGUGCAGGGAAGCAGCCUCUGAAGUCGUGCAGGGAAGCAGCCUCUGAAGUCGUGCAGGGAAGCAGCCUCUGAAGUCGUGCAGGGAAGCAGCCUCUGAAGUCGUGCAGGGAAGCAGCCUCUGAAGUCGUGCAGGGAAGCAGCCUCUGAAGUCGUGCAGGGAAGCAGCCUCUGAAGUCGUGCAGGGAAGCAGCCUCUGAAGUCGUGCAGGGAAGCAGCCUCUGAAGUCGUGCAGGGAAGCAGCCUCUGAAGUCGUGCAGGGAAGCACCCUGUGAAGUCGUGCAGGGAAGCACCCUGUGAAGUCGUGCAGGGAAGCACCUUCUGAAGUCGUGCAGGGAAGCACCCUGUGAAGUCGUGCAGGGAAGCACCCUGUGAAGUCGUGCAGGGAAGCACCUUCUGAAGUCGUGCAGGGAAGCACCCUGUGAAAUCGUGCAAGGAAGCACCCUGUGAAGUCGUGCAGGGGAAGCACCCUGUGAAGUCGUGCAGGGGAAGCACCCUGUGAAGUCGUGCAGGGGAAGCACCCUGUGAAGUCGUGCAGGGAAGCACCCUGUGAAAUCGUGCAGGGGAGCACCCUGUGAAGUCGUGCAGGGAAGCACCUUCUGAAAUCGUGCAGGGAAGCACCCUCUGAAAUGCCUAGAAAUAGCUGCCGGGCUUUCACUUGGUUCCCAAAUUUCUUCAAAGGUCAAAACCAUCACAGUGGGCAACUUUACACCCCAGUGUUCACUGUCCUCAGGCCACUGCAGAGCCAUCCUAGUGGGGCAGUGGGCGCGGGGCGGGGGCUCCUGACUCCGGUGAGGUCACCCUGGAGGGGAGUCCCAGGAAUCAGCCUGAUGUUCAGAAUGCCUUCCUGGCAUCUCAGAAGUGUACUGGGGGAGACAUGAGGACCUUUCAGCCAAGUGUCAGCGUUCUUAUUGCAGGAGAACAUUAAAGCCACAACCCAGAAACUUCUCAGGAGCAUGGCGCACCCACACCAGCCCCGGGCUCCGCCUGGACAGCACCUCCUGGGCCACCCUGACCAGCAGACACCAUCCUUCCAGCCUCUCUUGGCCACCCGGACCAGCGGGCACCACCCUCCCAGCCUCACGCGGCCACCCUGACCAGCAGGCACCAUCCUUCCAGCCUUGCUCAGUCACCCUGACCCAGAGGGCUGCCCUGACCAGCGGGCACCAUCCUCCCAGCCCCACUCAGCUGCCCUGACCAGCGGGCACCAUCCUCCCAGCCUCACUCGGCCAGCCGAGCUCUGUAGGCCUCAGAGUGCAGAGAACCUCAAAUGUUGUGACUUUGCUCUGCUGCAGGGACCUGCCAUGAAGUGUCCCUUGUGCGAGCAUUUUGAGAGCUAUGCCGGCAUCCGUCCCCGCAGGCCCCAUCCCUGAGCCAUUUCUCAGGAGAGCAGGAAGGGAGCAGGGAGAGGGGUGCUCCCAGCCAGCCCCGGAACCAGAGGUCUGGGGACGCAGCCGGCCAGCCCUCCUUGUCUGGGCCUCUGUUUCCUCUUCGACACAGGGAAGCAGGGAGGGGCCGAUCAGCGACUUAGGCCUGUUGGCUGUGGUGGGGUCCACCUGCGUUUCUGGGGAGCCCACGGACCCUGGGGUGUACCUGGGUUUCAUUCCCAGUGACCUCUCCUAUUGGUCCCCAUUUGGGGCGCUGAGAUGUGAUCGUUUCUUUCCUGAGAAUAAGCUGACGUAAAAACAUGCUGGGGAGGAAGAUGGGCCCUGGGGGCAGCGAGCUGCGCCUCUGCACCGGGAGAAAGGCCGUGUCCCCAGAGCUGAGGCGGUGGUGGGCAGGGCUCCUGUGAAGCCGGGGCAGGGCAGGGUGUCUCUGAGGUCAGUGAGGAACAGCUGAGGUCCAGGGACGCGGGAAGGAUGGGGUGAACUCCGGGAUGGGGCCGGCAGGGAGCCUCAUGCUUACAGACCCUGGUGUCGGCACUCUCCUGGUGUCCUCCGCAAACCUAGCCACGUGGUCAGGGAGCCCGGGCCUAGCAGACGGCCCCCACCUUGACAGAAUCCCCAGGGUCGUGCGUGGCGG